This 84-nucleotide transfer RNA is filed under the name Candidatus Campbelliibacteriota bacterium. Its description in RNAcentral is "tRNA-OTHER". It matches the Rfam family "tRNA". Rfam says of the family: Transfer RNA (tRNA) molecules are approximately 80 nucleotides in length. The record is from RNAcentral. Lineage: Bacteria; Candidatus Campbelliibacteriota.
UGGGGCGUAGCUCAAUCUCUCUCUUGGCAGAGCGCCUGUUUGAGAACAGGAAGAUGGUCGGUUCGAAUCCGUCCGCUCCAAUCA